GAUGAAGAACGUAGCGAAAUGUGAUACGUAAUGUGAAUUGCAGAAUUCAGUGAAUCAUCGAAUCUUUGAACGCACAUUGCGCCCUUUGGUAUUCCUUAGGGCAUGCCUGUUCGAGCGUCAUUUGAAACCUCAAGCUCAGCUUGGUGUUGGGUGUCUGUCCCCGCCUCACCGCGGGGACUCGCCUCAAAAUCAUUAGCGGCCGGUACGUUGGCUUCGAGCGCAGCAGAAACGCGAACUCGAGGCCCGGCGGAUCGGCGACCAGAAGUCACUUCUUCACAGUUUGACCUCGGAUCAGGUAGGGAUACCCGCUGAACUUAAGCAUAUCAAUAAGCGGAGGA
This 338-nucleotide unclassified non-coding RNA is filed under the name soil metagenome. Its description in RNAcentral is "partial contains 5.8S ribosomal RNA, internal transcribed spacer 2, and large subunit ribosomal RNA". The stretch from base 1 to 120 matches the Rfam family "5.8S ribosomal RNA", at positions 35 to 154 of the family's 154-position model. The record is from RNAcentral.